Molecule: long non-coding RNA, 1432 nt
Filed under: Equus caballus (horse)
Lineage: Eukaryota; Metazoa; Chordata; Mammalia; Perissodactyla; Equidae
Description: lncRNA (ENSECAG00000049067.1)
Source: RNAcentral
CUCAACGCCCUUUGCGCGUCUGUUAAAGUGCAACCGCGAAUUUGGAGCCAAGGAGACUCGCAUGGGAAGAGUGGGGGCAAAUACUUCGGCUCGGGAAAUUUCGCGCAGAGCCUGAGGCAGUUAACCUGCCUGGGGCCGGCGUGGCCAGGGCGAGCGAGAUCGCUGUCCGGGCUGACAGUGAUUUACGCGCUGGUGACACAAGUCGGCCAUAAACCUGGGUUGUGAGACGGUCUUUGGGAGCUGCGGCGGAGUUAACGCAGGGCUGCUCAGCCCAGAGGACGGAUCCUCCAACCUGCGCGCCUUUCCCAGCCUCCAUACCCGCAAUCAGAUACCGAAGCGCUUCUCUCGCCAUUCACAAUUCUCAGCAGAUGGUCUCCCCGAAGCUUGCGGCGGCCUCACCAGACUUAGCCGAGGAGACGCCUCCGCCAGGCAGGCCUCGGGUGGGGGCCGCGGGAUCUCAGAUAGGAUCCGCGGAUGCUGACUUGACCGUGGCAGGUUCCCUCCCCGUUCGUUUCUCAGCUCAGCAGUUGGAAAAUUCAUUUUAUAACUAUCUCCAAACAAAAAUACACGACUAAGAAAGAUUGCAAAGAAUUAAACUGAAGUCGGGCACCAAUGAUUUGGAAAGAUUUUCCCUCGAGACUGGAAGAGGGGGCUAUCCCCUUUUACAACUCGUGCUGUUUCUUCCAACUUUGUCUUCGACUUGGUUCCAGAGAGCCACGCGGACAGGGUCUUGAAAUAGAACGGGGCAGAACGUGUGGUUCCUCUUGCUCCCUCCCGUGUUGAGUCCCCGAACCCCAUGUCCACCCCCACCCCGCCGUUGAAGCAGAGACGCGGGAAAAGCCGCCAAUUUCUAGGCACCAGGCCCUGCUGUAGGAAGACUGUGAGAUAAAGGAUGCGAUAGGGAGGCCUUAAGUGCUCCGCGGAGAUAAGGUCCCUGAGUAUCAGAGGCAUUUAGCCCUGCUUCCCUGCUUUGCCUCUUGUUUAUAUCACACCGCUUGCCCCCCUCCACACACACCCCCCCGCCUCCCACACCUGGAGGGAGAGGAAGCUGUCGGAGAGGUGGUUGGGCAAGACGCUCGGUUGCCUCCAACCCCUGGCCGUCAGACUCUCCUAAGGCCACGCGAUUUGCUUAGUCCUGGUGGAAAUUACUUAGGAUACUAAGAUAUGUCAAUGGUCCGGCACAACAAAGUUCAAAAGGAGACAGCCCUCCAUUAUUCAUAAAUAUUACUCCAAUUGUGUUAAAGGCUUUAAGUGAUUUUUAUUUCGUUUGGAGUCUCCGGUGGUAUACUUAGGAUGCUGAAAGAGAUCGGGUAUGAUUUGUGCUGGUCACGUGCCAAAACACUGUUAAAGUGAAAGGAAAAAAGGAACUAAAAGUUUUGUAAGGACGCACGUCACAUUUAAGACAACCAUAUACAAAACGCUCGCAUAAUUU